Molecule: microRNA precursor, 195 nt
Filed under: Oryza sativa Japonica Group (Japanese rice)
Lineage: Eukaryota; Viridiplantae; Streptophyta; Magnoliopsida; Poales; Poaceae
Description: MIR812 microRNA precursor family
Rfam family: MIR812 microRNA precursor family
Source: Rfam by way of RNAcentral
AAAAAAGCAAACCGUGGGUUUGCGUGCCAACGUUUGACUGUUCAUCUUAUAUGAAAUUUUUUUAUAAUUAGUAUUUUCAUUGUUGUUAGAUGAUAAAACAUGAUGAAUACUUUAUGCGUGACUUAUCUUUUUAAUUUUUUUAUAAUUUUUUUAAAUAAGACGGACGGUCAAACAUUAGACACGGAAACCAGGGUU